This 26-nucleotide non-coding RNA is filed under the name Mus musculus (house mouse). Lineage: Eukaryota; Metazoa; Chordata; Mammalia; Rodentia; Muridae. The record is from RNAcentral.
UGCAAAAGGGUUACUUUACUGAUGCA